Molecule: ribosomal RNA, 249 nt
Filed under: uncultured Eubacteriales bacterium
Lineage: Bacteria; Bacillati; Bacillota; Clostridia; Eubacteriales
Description: uncultured Clostridiales bacterium partial 16S ribosomal RNA
Rfam family: Bacterial small subunit ribosomal RNA
Source: RNAcentral
UGGGGAAUAUUGCACAAUGGGCGAAAGCCUGAUGCAGCAACGCCGCGUGAGCGAUGAAGGCCUUCGGGUUGUAAAGCUCUGUCCUCAAGGAAGAUAAUGACGGUACUUGAGGAGGAAGCCCCGGCUAACUACGUGCCAGCAGCCGCGGUAAUACGUAGGGGGCUAGCGUUAUCCGGAUUUACUGGGCGUAAAGGGUGGGUAGGUGGGUUCUUAAGUCAGGUGUGAAAGGCUACGGCUCAACCGUAGUAA